CAACCUGCCUGUAAGACUGGGAUAACUUCGGGAAACCGGAGCUAAUACCGGAUAAUCCUUUCCCUCACAUGAGGGAAAGCUGAAAGACGGUUUCGGCUGUCACUUACAGAUGGGCCCGCGGCGCAUUAGCUAGUUGGUGAGGUAACGGCUCACCAAGGCAACGAUGCGUAGCCGACCUGAGAGGGUGAUCGGCCACACUGGGACUGAGACACGGCCCAGACUCCUACGGGAGGCAGCAGUAGGGAAUCUUCCGCAAUGGACGAAAGUCUGACGGAGCAACGCCGCGUGAACGAUGAAGGCUUUCGGGUCGUAAAGUUCUGUUGUCAGGGAAGAACAAGUACCGGAGUAACUGCCGGUACCUUGACGGUACCUGACCAGAAAGCCACGGCUAACUACGUGCCAGCAGCCGCGGUAAUACGUAGGUGGCAAGCGUUGUCCGGAAUUAUUGGGCGUAAAGCGCGCGCAGGCGGUUCCUUAAGUCUGAUGUGAAAGCCCCCGGCUCAACCGGGGAGGGUCAUUGGAAACUGGGGAACUUGAGUGCAGAAGAGGAGAGCGGAAUUCCACGUGUAGCGGUGAAAUGCGUAGAGAUGUGGAGGAACACCAGUGGCGAAGGCGGCUCUCUGGUCUGUAACUGACGCUGAGGCGCG
Molecule: ribosomal RNA, 647 nt
Filed under: Bacillus sp. (in: firmicutes)
Lineage: Bacteria; Bacillati; Bacillota; Bacilli; Caryophanales; Bacillaceae
Description: bacterial SSU rRNA
Rfam family: Bacterial small subunit ribosomal RNA
Source: RNAcentral